This 489-nucleotide ribosomal RNA is filed under the name Enterococcus casseliflavus. RNAcentral describes it as "bacterial SSU rRNA". It matches the Rfam family "Bacterial small subunit ribosomal RNA", at positions 340 to 820 of the family's 1533-position model. The record is from RNAcentral. Lineage: Bacteria; Bacillati; Bacillota; Bacilli; Lactobacillales; Enterococcaceae.
UACGGGAGGCAGCAGUAGGGAAUCUUCGGCAAUGGACGAAAGUCUGACCGAGCAACGCCGCGUGAGUGAAGAAGGUUUUCGGAUCGUAAAACUCUGUUGUUAGAGAAGAACAAGGAUGAGAGUAAAAUGUUCAUCCCUUGACGGUAUCUAACCAGAAAGCCACGGCUAACUACGUGCCAGCAGCCGCGGUAAUACGUAGGUGGCAAGCGUUGUCCGGAUUUAUUGGGCGUAAAGCGAGCGCAGGCGGUUUCUUAAGUCUGAUGUGAAAGCCCCCGGCUCAACCGGGGAGGGUCAUUGGAAACUGGGAGACUUGAGUGCAGAAGAGGAGAGUGGAAUUCCAUGUGUAGCGGUGAAAUGCGUAGAUAUAUGGAGGAACACCAGUGGCGAAGGCGGCUCUCUGGUCUGUAACUGACGCUGAGGCUCGAAAGCGUGGGGAGCGAACAGGAUUAGAUACCCUGGUAGUCCACGCCGUAAACGAUGAGUGCUAAG